Maylandia zebra (zebra mbuna) is the source of this 998-nucleotide long non-coding RNA. RefSeq lists it as uncharacterized. The record is from RefSeq and is a predicted model, not a curated record. NCBI's taxonomy places the organism in Eukaryota, Metazoa, Chordata, Actinopteri, Cichliformes, Cichlidae.
GUUCAGCAGCCUGGUUAUCAGCAGCUCUGGAGGUUGGAGAGGAACUGCAGCACAGGACAGAGGUGUUUCGUAGAGCCCGGUGUCUCUGGUGUUGCUGUUGUCGGAUAAAGAGAGGUCGGAAGACAUGAAGGUCACCAGUAGAAACUCGUGCUGCUGAAGAUUCAACAGCUCCAUCAGCGUCUCUGUGAAAUGGGAUGUAACAGGUCAAGAUGCUGGCUUGGAGCCCGUUCUGACAAACCGGAUGAGGCCGUCACCGAUGAGGCUGAGGGGUUUCUGAAGCAUGCAAGCGACUCUGAAGGUAUUGCAGGCUCAGCUGACGGCAGCUUCCAGGAUCCCCCUCCAGCCAGUAGAGCUCUGCUGGACUUUGCUCAGAGGAUGUCGGAGGACAUUGUCGCUCAGGCUCUGCAUCUCUGCUGGGAGGCAGCGAUCCGAUACGACGAGCUCCCUUUCAUUGACAGUGACGCCGAUUAUGUUAAUGAACCAAAACAUUUCUUUACUUGAAAUCUGCCUGGACAUCCACCCAGGCUGCAUGAAACAGGUGAAGUUCAGAUAUUAGUUUCUGUCCACAGCAAAAAUCUGAGGUGUGGAUUAUUUUAAGACAUUACAACAUGUGUCCACAAAACUUUGUACUGCAAAACAAAAACACCACUUCUGAAACCUUUAAAGUUAUAGUUUAAAGAGUAUAAAGGACAAUUAGAUUAUGACCACUAAAAUCUAGUUCCAGGUACAUUUUACUUCAUGCAUUCUCAUUAGAGCCAUCCCGGGUUUAAAAGAAAAAAUAUGCACGAACAAGGCAGAGCGUCAUUCAGGCUUUCAUCAUAAAAGGCAAAAGAAAAGAAAUAAAUGCAUUUAUCAACACAUUACCUGUGUCUGAAUGUAAAUGCACUUUGGUGGUGAUAAAAGGUAAACAGACUUAAAAAUAUAUAUAUAAAGUGAAUGUGACAUAAUUAAUGUUGUUUCUCAGUACAAUAAAGACAUAUUAUUCAUUGCUCAACUCA